This 216-nucleotide ribosomal RNA is filed under the name uncultured bacterium. Its description in RNAcentral is "partial 16S ribosomal RNA". It matches the Rfam family "Bacterial small subunit ribosomal RNA", at positions 32 to 224 of the family's 1533-position model. The record is from RNAcentral.
AAUCAACGCUGGCGGCGUGCCUCAGACAUGCAAGUCGAACGCGAAAGGUUCCUUCGGGGACCGAGUAGAGUGGCGCACGGGUGAGUAACACGUAGGUAAUUUGCCUUUGGGUGGGGAAUAACUCAGGGAAACUUGAGCUAAUACCGCAUAAUGCAGCGGCUCGACAUCGAGACAGUUGUUAAAGCGGGGGAGUUCGCAAGAACCUCGCGCCUAAAG